This is a long non-coding RNA of Lates calcarifer (barramundi perch), 585 nucleotides long. RefSeq lists it as uncharacterized. The transcript has 5 exons. The record is from RefSeq and is a predicted model, not a curated record. Lineage: Eukaryota; Metazoa; Chordata; Actinopteri; Centropomidae.
AGACAAUUUGGUUCCUAUCAGUGAAGGUUCCAAGUGGAGAUGACAGAUGAUGAAAAGAAGCAUCUUUUUGAUGAAUGAAGAAAGAACCAGGUCAGCUGAGGAGCGAGGAGACAUGAAAUGAAGCAAUGUAGUCAUGUUCAGAAGAAUAAUAUCUCAGCCCACAUGAAGAGGAGGAAUUAUUACACACAGCACAACAACAGGACAUCUGAUUAAUCUCUGCAGGAAACAGACAAGACACCUGCUGCUCUGCAGGAAAUCUUCAUUAUGUAGAUUUCCUGUGUGUGUAGCCAGCUCUGCUCUGAUUGGACAGAUUCCAAGCAACAGGCGUGACUCACCUGUAGCUGUUGGGAUGGACUCACCUGUCAUCCUACUUCAAGGCUGGUGUUAAUGGUACAGUUUCUCCAGCCGGUUUUAUGGGUCAGCCUGCUGUUUCCCCUCAUUUAGCUGAGGAUUUAUGAAUCAAACAGUCCACCCACUGAGGGUCGUCGCCACUGUGUCUCCAGUGUGAUUCAGCGGGACUGAAUGAUAUGUGAGACAGUGCAUUUUCCAGCCACCAGAGGGAGACAAACACCAGCAGCUAAUCAG